UACGGAGGGUGCAAGCGUUGUCCGGAUUUAUUGGGUUUAAAGGGUGCGUAGGCGGCCGAUUAAGUCUGGGGUGAAAGCCCACUGCUCAACAGUGGAACUGCCCUGGAAACUGGUUGGCUUGAGUACAGACGAGGGUGGCGGAAUGGAUACUGUAGCGGUGAAAUGCAUAGAUAGUAUCCAGAACCCCGAUUGCGAAGGCAGCUGCCUAGACUGUAACUGACGCUGAGGCACGAAAGCGUGGGGAGCGAACAGG
This 253-nucleotide ribosomal RNA is filed under the name uncultured bacterium. Its description in RNAcentral is "partial 16S ribosomal RNA". It matches the Rfam family "Bacterial small subunit ribosomal RNA", at positions 524 to 776 of the family's 1533-position model. The record is from RNAcentral.